Molecule: transfer RNA, 73 nt
Filed under: Chloroflexota bacterium
Lineage: Bacteria; Bacillati; Chloroflexota
Also listed under: 1 other name
Description: Chloroflexi bacterium tRNA-Arg
Rfam family: tRNA
About the family: Transfer RNA (tRNA) molecules are approximately 80 nucleotides in length. Their secondary structure includes four short double-helical elements and three loops (D, anti-codon, and T loops).
Source: RNAcentral
GGCCCUGUAGCUCAGGGGAGAGAGCAGCCGCCUUCUAAGCGGACGGUCGGGGGUUCGAAUCCCUCCAGGGCCG